CUACGGGGGGCUGCAGUGGGGAAUAUUGCACAAUGGGCGCAAGCCUGAUGCAGCCAUGCCGCGUGUAUGAAGAAGGCCUUCGGGUUGUAAAGUACUUUCAGCGGGGAGGAAGGGAGUAAAGUUAAUACCUUUGCUCAUUGACGUUACCCGCAGAAGAAGCACCGGCUAACUCCGUGCCAGCAGCCGCGGUAAUACGGAGGGUGCAAGCGUUAAUCGGAAUUACUGGGCGUAAAGCGCACGCAGGCGGUUUGUUAAGUCAGAUGUGAAAUCCCCGGGCUCAACCUGGGAACUGCAUCUGAUACUGGCAAGCUUGAGGCUCGUAGAGGGGGGUAGAAUUCCAGGUGUAGCGGUGAAAUGCGUAGAGAUCUGGAGGAAUACCGGUGGCGAAGGCAGCCCCCUGGACGAAGACUGACGCUCAGGUGCGAAAGCGUGGGGAGCAAACAGGAUUAGAUACCCGAGUAGUC
RNAcentral lists this ribosomal RNA (464 nucleotides) under uncultured bacterium. RNAcentral's name for it is "partial 16S ribosomal RNA". It matches the Rfam family "Bacterial small subunit ribosomal RNA", at positions 339 to 795 of the family's 1533-position model. The record is from RNAcentral.